Molecule: non-coding RNA, 25 nt
Filed under: Cricetulus griseus (Chinese hamster)
Lineage: Eukaryota; Metazoa; Chordata; Mammalia; Rodentia; Cricetidae
Source: RNAcentral
CCUCAAGGUGGCUUGGACCCUGUUC